GACGAACGCUGGCGGCGUGCCUAAUACAUGCAAGUAGGACGCAGUUGCGAACGGGUGAGUAACGCGUAGGUAACUACCUAUCAGAGGGGGAUAACUAUUGGAAACGAAAGCUAAUACCGCAUACUAGUAGAUGGAUCUGCGUUUUAUUAGCUAGUAGGUAGGGUAAUGGCCUACCUAGGUAACGAUACAUAGCCGACCUGGGAAGGUGAUCGACCACACUUGGACUGAGACACGGCCCAGACUCCUUCGGGGGGCAGCAGUAGGGAAACUUCGGAAAUGGGGGGAAACCUGGCCGAACAACGCCGCGGGGGUGAAGAAGGUUUUCGGGUCGUAAAGCUCUGUUGUUAAGGAAGCGGUACUUAACCAGAAAGGGACGGCUAACUACGUGCCAGCAGCCGCGGUAAUUC
RNAcentral lists this ribosomal RNA (407 nucleotides) under uncultured bacterium. RNAcentral describes it as "partial 16S ribosomal RNA". It matches the Rfam family "Bacterial small subunit ribosomal RNA", at positions 28 to 526 of the family's 1533-position model. The record is from RNAcentral.